GGUGGCUCUGGGAAGUGUUGGUUCCUGUGUGUAACAUGGUGGUGAGAGCAAGGAGAAAAGCUGUUUGGAGAUCUCCUGGUCCGUACUCUCCCAUCUCUGUGUGAGGUCUGCUGGUCCUGCUUUCCCAUCUCUGGAUGCCUGGCUGGAGCCAAAGGUGACCUCUCACUGCUUUCAAGCAGGAUCCAUCCUCUGGCUGAGUGGCUGGGCUGGGGUGGCCAGCAGAGCAGCAUGUGCUCCUCCUGGCUCAGCAGCAAGUAAGACAAUCCUGGGACACUGCAGAAGAUAUAAGGAGAAGAUCAGCAAAAGACCCACUGUGGGUCUGAAAAGCAGCUGUGCCUACAGCUCUCCAGUGGUGGGAUAUCUGAACUGCCUCAAGAUGAGCAGGGAAUUGAACCAAGGACUCCUACAAUCUGUUUUCCCUGAUGCUUCUCAAGUGAAAACACAAUGUUACUCCCCAGAAAUGGCAGAGACGGGUCCUGUAAAAAGUAGGAGGAUCAGUACUGUGCCAGCAGCAGGACUCUUCAGCCCAUUGACAGUAACUGCUCUGCAAGGUGGAUGAAUGAUGAUCUCAUUGUGAGCCUAUCUGAUGUUUUCCUAAAAAGCACAAUAAAGUGACUUUCCCAAGGUGUUGAGGAAAAUCUGUGGCAUGGGGGCAUUAAGGGCUCCAUUUUGGGGUGAAAUUUUGCAUCAGCCUCUAGUUUGCUUGAAACCUCAUCAAAAAUCGUGCAGUGCUCUGGUAUAGCACUGCAUGGAGUUAUACUGGCACAACAACAGGCUGAAAAUUCUCUCAUGGGCUUUAUUCAUCUCAACAUUUGCCUUUCAACCCAACCUAGUCAUGUAUGAUCCUGCCAUGACCAGUAGGGAUGGAUACCUCCAGAUGGAAAAUCAUCCUCUCCCAAGGGAAACAUCUAAGCCAC
RNAcentral lists this long non-coding RNA (917 nucleotides) under Taeniopygia guttata (zebra finch). RNAcentral describes it as "lncRNA (ENSTGUG00000019275.1)". The record is from RNAcentral. Lineage: Eukaryota; Metazoa; Chordata; Aves; Passeriformes; Estrildidae.